GCGAGGGUGUUGCGGAGUUCAGGAUAUUCUAUGCUUUUCACACAUCAAAGAUCAUCAUUGCUAAUCAAACACUUGUUGCAUGACUAUUCUAUGCUUUUCACACAUCAAAGAUCAUCAUUGCUGCUUUACAGUUUGAAAAAAACAGAUCUAUGCUGUGUUGCUCGAGAGUGACUUUCAUCUUGGCUGUAUUAAUGAAGAGAGCGACUCAGCUAGCGGCCGCACUGUAGCAGAAAGCAGACUUUGCUUUAUACAUUUUUUCAAGCAUUCUUUCUGCUGUUUGGUGGAAUUUAUAUGUAGAGACCGCUCAACAGAGAGAAAUGAAACAUAAUCAUUAUUAAUUUCUCUAGUUUUUCCGCAGAUUUGAUGUCUUGCGUCGAUAACUAUGGAGGCCUUCUUGACAUUUACAGUGAGCAUUAUGAUUGGGGGUGUAAAUAUCUCGUAUGCAAACUAGAAGGCCUGAAGAAACUGCUGGUUCUGAUAGAGCUCCAAUGGCAAAUAAUCACAUGAAAUUUAAUUCUUUGUCCUGUUGUACACUCUUUGCAAACGAAUUGGGCAAUCUACGAUAUUUGCAGAUUACCUUAUGCCUACUUAGAAGAGUGUUAAGUCUGAGGCCAACUGGGCAUCGGCUCAGCUUGGGGUUCAGGGUGAGGUUGCUUGCAACACUGUCUGAAAAAGGGAAGGAAAUACUAUGCAGUUUGUAGUAGUUGAAGAAGCAGUGAUACUCUCUGGAUCACCAGUUAUGAUUUGUUAAGAAUUAGCAGUUAUUGGUUGAA
Molecule: long non-coding RNA, 773 nt
Organism: Syzygium oleosum
Lineage: Eukaryota; Viridiplantae; Streptophyta; Magnoliopsida; Myrtales; Myrtaceae
Exons: 2
Source: RefSeq, a predicted model, not a curated record